UAUUAAAGAUGUGUAAUGAAAAAUUUUCUUUUACUUAUUGCUUUAAUUUUUUCUUUUGCAUUCGAGGCUGCUGCUACUACUCCUGAACUUGAUGCAACAUCAAUAGUAAUAUGUGCAAUAGUAAACUAUUCACAUACGAUCGGUGGGCCAAUCAUGACGGUGGUGAUUAUCGGUGCAGCACUGCUUGCAGUGUUUGGCAGAAUGCCGUGGCCAGCACUUGUUGCAUUGGGUAUAUUCACUGGUGCGUUUUUUGGUGCACCUGCAAUUGUAAAGGUUAUUGCACCAGAUACAUCACAAUCUUGUAAAUGUCCUGAAGGUAAAACACUGAAAAACGGAGUAUGUACGUAGGUUAGGUCAUGUGAACAACACACCUUUUGCAAAACUAAGUUCUGAUGGCAAUCAGAACUUACCUACUUCUUAAAUAUAUCCUGCUGCACUCACACGCGCUUCUCCAUCAUUAUUUGCAGUCAUCCAACAUUAAAAAAAUAACUUAAAUUGAUAAAACUUAAAAUAAUAUUUACCUAAUUUUAAACAAUGUAGAAGAUAAUACAGCAUAAAUAUAUUAGAGGUAUUAAUGAAAAAUUUUCUUUUACUUGUUGCUUUAAUUUUUGCAUUUGCAUUCGAGGCUGCUGCUCUUGAUGAAACAUCAACGGUAAUAUGUGCAAUAGUAAACUAUUCACAUAAGAUCGGUGGGCCAAUCAUGACGGUGGUGAUUAUCGGUGCAGCACUGCUUGCAGUAUUUGGCAGAAUGCCAUGGCCGGCACUUGUUGCAUUAGGUAUAUUUACUGGUGCAUUUUUUGGUGCACCUGCAAUUAUAAAGGUUAUUGCACCAAGUACUGACCAUUGUGUCACAAAAGCAGAACAACCAACACCUUGUCCUAAAGGCAAAACAAAGAAUGCACAAGGAAUAUGUGUGUAGGUUAGGUCAUGUGAAAACA
This is a non-coding RNA of Cinara cedri, 938 nucleotides long. NCBI's taxonomy places the organism in Eukaryota, Metazoa, Arthropoda, Insecta, Hemiptera, Aphididae. The record is from the annotation of a GenBank genome assembly.